This 492-nucleotide ribosomal RNA is filed under the name uncultured bacterium. Its description in RNAcentral is "partial 16S ribosomal RNA". It matches the Rfam family "Bacterial small subunit ribosomal RNA", at positions 29 to 507 of the family's 1533-position model. The record is from RNAcentral.
AGUGAACGCUGGCGGUAGGCCUAACACAUGCAAGUCGAACGGCAGCACAGUAAGAGCUUGCUCUUACGGGUGGCGAGUGGCGGACGGGUGAGGAAUACAUCGGAAUCUACUUUUUCGUGGGGGAUAACGUAGGGAAACUUACGCUAAUACCGCAUACGACCUACGGGUGAAAGCAGGGGAUCUUCGCACCUUGCGCGACUGAAUGAGCCGAUGUCGGAUUAGCUAGUUGGCGGGGUAAAGGCCCACCAAGGCGACGAUCCGUAGCUGGUCUGAGAGGAUGAUCAGCCACACUGGAACUGAGACACGGUCCAGACUCCUACGGGAGGCAGCAGUGGGGAAUAUUGGACAAUGGGCGCAAGCCUGAUCCAGCCAUACCGCGUGGGUGAAGAAGGCCUUCGGGUUGUAAAGCCCUUUUGUUGGGAAAGAAAAGCAGCAGGUUAAUACCCCGCUGUUCUGACGGUACCCAAAGAAUAAGCACCGGCUAACUUCGUG